RNAcentral lists this ribosomal RNA (325 nucleotides) under uncultured eukaryote. RNAcentral's name for it is "partial 18S ribosomal RNA". It matches the Rfam family "Eukaryotic small subunit ribosomal RNA", at positions 1470 to 1796 of the family's 1831-position model. The record is from RNAcentral.
CCCUUAGAUGUCCUGGGCCGCACGCGCGCUACACUGAUGCAUUCAACGAGUUUUACCUUGGCCGAGAGGCCUGGGCAAUCUUUUAAACCUGCAUCGUGAUAGGGAUAGAUUAUUGCAAUUAUUAAUCUUGAACGAGGAAUUCCUAGUAAACGCAGAUCAUCAAUCUGUAUUGAUUACGUCCCUGCCCUUUGUACACACCGCCCGUCGCACCUACCGAUUGAAUGGUCCGGUGAAGCCUCGGGAUUGUGGCCAGUUCACUUUAUUGGGAGUUGGCUGCGAGAACUUGUCUAAACCUUAUCAUUUAGAGGAAGGUGAAGUCGUAACA